CUGUGAAGUUCCUAUCGUUUUUCUUUCAUAUUUGUGAUAUUUCAUAUGUUAGCAUGCCGAAAAUAAUUCAAAGUAACGAAAGAAAUGUUAUACUAUCGGUGCGUGAUUUCUGUGAAAGAGAAAAAGAAUAUCUGAAAAAACCGUAAGCACCAUAACUAAAGAAGUCGGACUCAGAUGCUGCUUCGCCUAAUCCUUCACCAGACAUACCAUCAUGUUCGUCUCCAGACACACCAUUGCAGCCUUCAUUAGGUAUACCAUUACAUCCUUCUCCAGAUAUAACAAGAGAGCUAUCACCAGAAUCAGAUAUUCCAGCAGUGUCGAAUCCGAAUAAUGAAACAUUUGCUAAACCUCCACCUCAACGUAAAAGAUUUAAACGAACAUCGCUUCCUCUACACAUUGAAAAAUCUAUCGAGACACUGCAGUUCAUAAAAAACCAAACACUAAAUAGCAGAGAGAUUGAAGACGAGUUUUCACACUUUGCUAAAAAUGUGGCCAGUCAGCUAAGACAACUGCCUCUCUCAGAUGCUCUUGAUGUUCAAGCAGAUAUAUUACAGGUAAUAAAACAAAAAAGAAUUCAUCGUAUGCACAUGGAAAAUAAUUUCUCUUCAUCAAGCAGUGCAGCAGAAUAUACUAUUGAAAUACCAGAACAUAUAUUCAACAAUCUUGGUUCUCAGGUUCAGGUACAUGAUUCAGAAACACAAGACAUUUCAACGCCAUUCAAUGAGGUACAACAUUCUGCAUUAGAAGCAGCAAUUAGAAGCAUCGGAGGGAUCAAUAAUAACGAGA
Molecule: long non-coding RNA, 786 nt
Organism: Leptidea sinapis
Lineage: Eukaryota; Metazoa; Arthropoda; Insecta; Lepidoptera; Pieridae
Exons: 3
Source: RefSeq, a predicted model, not a curated record